GCCGGGCAUGGUGGCGCACACCUGUAGUCCCAGUGACUCGGAGGCUGAGGCAGGAGGAUUACAAGUUCAAGGCCAGCCUCAG
RNAcentral lists this small RNA (82 nucleotides) under Marmota monax (woodchuck). The record is from RNAcentral. Lineage: Eukaryota; Metazoa; Chordata; Mammalia; Rodentia; Sciuridae.